GCAAGAUACCACGGGCGCACGGCGGAUGCCUUGGCACAGGGAGCCGAUGAAGGACGCGGCAAGCUGCGAUAAUCCCCGGCGAGGAGCACACAUCCUUCGACCCGGGGGUCUCCGAAUGGGCGAACCCAUCCGUAGCAGUACGGAUAUCCCGAUCCUGAACACAUAGGGGCCGGGAGGACAACCCGGGGAACUGAAACAUCUAAGUACCCGGAGGAGAGGAAAUCAAUCUCGAGACUCCCCGAGUAGCGGCGAGCGAAAGGGGACCGAUGGCCAAACCGUCGAGCGGGCAUACCCGGCAGGGGUUCCGCCGGCGGGGUUGCAGGGCCGCGCAUCCGGGGGCUGCCGCCCCCGGGCGCAGGUCCGGCUGGGGAGCGGAACGGCAUGGGAGGGCCGGCCGCAGCGGGUGAAAGCCCCGUACGCGAACCCAGACCGGACGGCGCGACGCGGUCCCUGAGUAGGGCCGGGCACGUGAAACCCGGUCCGAACCUGGGUGGACCACCAUCCAAGCCUGAGUACUACCCUGUGACCGAUAGCGCACCAGUACCGUGAGGGAAAGGUGAAAAGCACCCCGGGAGGGGAGUGAAACAGUACCUGAAACCGUGCGCCCACGAGCAGUCGGAGCACCUAUACGGUGUGACGGCGUGCCUUUUGUAGAAUGAGCCAGCGAGUCGCUGGCGCGGGGCGAGGUUAACCGAAAGGGAGCCGGAGCGAAAGCGAGCCUUAACAGGGCGACUUGAGUCCCGCGCCGCGGACGCGAAGCCGGGUGAGCUAUCCGUGGGCAGGCUGAAGCGGGGGUAAGACCCCGUGGAGGGCCGAACGCACGUCGGUUGAAAACGGCGGCGAUGACCUGCGGAUAGGGGUGAAAGGCCAAUCAAACCCGGAGAUAUCUCGUUCUCCCCGAAAUAGCUUUAGGGCUAGCGUCGCGCGUUCACCGCCGGAGGUAGAGCACCGGAUGGACGAGGGGGCUUCGCCGCCUACCGAAUCCAACCGAACUCCGAAUGCCGGCGGCCCAGAGCGCGGCAGUCAGAGCAUGUGGGCUAAGCUGUGUGCUCGAGAGGGAAACAGCCCGGACCGCCCGCUAAGGUCCCCAAGUUCCAGCCGAGUGGCAAAGGAUGUGCGUCCGCCCAGACAACCAGGAUGUUGGCUUAGAAGCAGCCAUGCAUUCAAAGAGUGCGUAACAGCUCACUGGUCGAGUGGACAUGCGCCGACAAUACACGGGGCUAAGCUGGACACCGAAGCGGCGGGAUUUUAUCUAUAUAGAAUCGGUAGGGGAGCUUCCCAUGGGCGGUGAAGCCGCCGGGCGACCGGCGGUGGAGCGCAUGGGAGUGAGAAUGCUGGCAUGAGUAGCGAGAGACGAGAGAGUAACUCGUCCGCCGUGAACCCGAGGUUUCCUGGGCAAGGCUAAUCCUCCCAGGGUCAGUCGGGGGCUAAGGCGAGGCCGGAAGGCGUAGCCGACGCGCAGCAGGCAGACAUUCCUGCACCGCGCACGCGGCGCUACGACCGACGGGGCGACGGAUGGGGGUGGCUCGGCGGGGUUCUGGACGUCCCCGUGAUGGAGCGCGGCCCGCGGACCAGGGAAAUCCGGUCCGCACACAGGGCGAGGCUCCGGACGAAGCAUCUGAGCGAAGCGAGUGAGCCCGAGGUCCCUAGAAAAACCCCUAGGCAGGCGCGUGCGCGCCCGUACCGCAAACCGACACAGGUGGGUGGGUAGAACAUACCGAGGCGAUCGGGUCAACCAUGGUCAAGGAACUCGGCACAAUGGCCCCGUAACUUCGGGAGAAGGGGUGCCCGCGCGUACGUGAACGGACUUGCUCCGGGAGCGGAGGCGGGCCGCAGUGGAGAGGCCCAAGCGACUGUUUACCAAAAACACAGGACUCUGCAGAAGCCGCAAGGCGACGUAUAGGGUCUGACGCCUGCCCGGUGCCGGAAGGUCACGCGGAGGAGUUAGCUUUCGAGCGAAGCCCCGAAGCCAAGCCCCGGUAAACGGCGGCCGUAACUAUAACGGUCCUAAGGUAGCGAAAUUCCUUGUCGGGUAAGUUCCGACCUGCACGAAAGGCGCAACGACUUGGGCGCUGUCUCGACCAUGGACCCGGUGAAAUUGCACUGGUCGUGAAGAUGCGACUUACCCGCGGAAGGACGGAAAGACCCCGUGAACCUUCACUGCAGCUUGGCAUUGGCCGCUGGUCCCGCGUGUAGAGGAUAGGCAGGAGGCACAGAUCCGGAGGCGCCAGCCCCCGGGGAGCCGCCCUUGGAAUACUGCCCUCGCGCGACCGGCGUCCUAACCCGAGGCCGUCAACCGGCUCGGGGACCGUGCCAGGCGGGCAGUUUGACUGGGGCGGUCGCCUCCUAAAGGGUAACGGAGGCGCGCGAAGGUCCGCUCGGGACGGUCGGCAACCGUCCUUUUGAAUGCAAGAGUACAAGCGGGCUUGACUGCGAGGCCCACAAGCCGAGCAGGUGCGAAAGCAGGCUCUAGUGAUCCGGCGGCCCCGAGUGGGUGGGCCGUCGCUCAACGGAUAAAAGGUACUCCGGGGAUAACAGGCUGAUCUUGCCCAAGAGUCCACAUCGACGGCAAGGUUUGGCACCUCGAUGUCGGCUCAUCGCAUCCUGGGGCUGGAGCAGGUCCCAAGGGUACGGCUGUUCGCCGUUUAAAGCGGUACGCGAGCUGGGUUCAGAACGUCGUGAGACAGUUCGGUCCCUAUCC
Molecule: ribosomal RNA, 2701 nt
Filed under: human gut metagenome
Description: bacterial LSU rRNA
Rfam family: Bacterial large subunit ribosomal RNA
Source: RNAcentral